UACGUAGGGACCGAGCGUUGUCCGGAAUCAUUGGGCGUAAAGAGCGUGUAGGCGGCCAUUUAAGUCCUGCGUGAAAUCCUGCGGCUCAACCGCAGACGGUCGUGGGAAACUGGAUGGCUAGAGUGCGGGAGAGGAGAGUGGAAUUCCCGGUGUAGCGGUGAAAUGCGCAGAUAUCGGGAAGAACACCGGUGGCGAAGGCGGCGACCUGGGUAGAUACUGACGCUGAGGUGCGAAAGCGUGGGGAGCAAACAGG
RNAcentral lists this ribosomal RNA (253 nucleotides) under uncultured bacterium. RNAcentral's name for it is "partial 16S ribosomal RNA". It matches the Rfam family "Bacterial small subunit ribosomal RNA", at positions 524 to 776 of the family's 1533-position model. The record is from RNAcentral.